This 1441-nucleotide ribosomal RNA is filed under the name uncultured organism. RNAcentral describes it as "SSU rRNA". It matches the Rfam family "Bacterial small subunit ribosomal RNA". The record is from RNAcentral.
GCUAGCUACAGGCUUAACACAUGCAAGUCGAGGGGCAGCAUGGUCUUAGCUUGCUAAGACUGAUGGCGACCGGCGCACGGGUGAGUAACACGUAUCCAACCUGCCGUCUACUCUUGGACAGCCUUCUGAAAGGAAGAUUAAUACAAGAUGGCAUCAUGAGUCCGCAUGUUCACAUGAUUAAAGGUAUUCCGGUAGACGAUGGGGAUGCGUUCCAUUAGAUAGUAGGCGGGGUAACGGCCCACCUAGUCUUCGAUGGAUAGGGGUUCUGAGAGGAAGGUCCCCCACAUUGGAACUGAGACACGGUCCAAACUCCUACGGGAGGCAGCAGUGAGGAAUAUUGGUCAAUGGGCGAGAGCCUGAACCAGCCAAGUAGCGUGAAGGAUGACUGCCCUAUGGGUUGUAAACUUCUUUUAUAAAGGAAUAAAGUCGGGUAUGGAUACCCGUUUGCAUGUACUUUAUGAAUAAGGAUCGGCUAACUCCGUGCCAGCAGCCGCGGUAAUACGGAGGAUCCGAGCGUUAUCCGGAUUUAUUGGGUUUAAAGGGAGCGUAGAUGGAUGUUUAAGUCAGUUGUGAAAGUUUGCGGCUCAACCGUAAAAUUGCAGUUGAUACUGGAUAUCUUGAGUGCAGUUGAGGCAGGCAGAAUUCGUGGUGUAGCGGUGAAAUGCUUAGAUAUCACGAAGAACUCCGAUUGCGAAGGCAGCCUGCUAAGCUGCAACUGACAUUGAGGCUCGAAAGUGUGGGUAUCAAACAGGAUUAGAUACCCUGGUAGUCCACACGGUAAACGAUGAAUACUCGCUGUUUGCGAUAUACGGCAAGCGGCCAAGCGAAAGCGUUAAGUAUUCCACCUGGGGAGUACGCCGGCAACGGUGAAACUCAAAGGAAUUGACGGGGGCCCGCACAAGCGGAGGAACAUGUGGUUUAAUUCGAUGAUACGCGAGGAACCUUACCCGGGCUUAAAUUGCAGAUGAAUUACGGUGAAAGCCGUAAGCCGCAAGGCAUCUGUGAAGGUGCUGCAUGGUUGUCGUCAGCUCGUGCCGUGAGGUGUCGGCUUAAGUGCCAUAACGAGCGCAACCCUUGUUGUCAGUUACUAACAGGUUCCGCUGAGGACUCUGACAAGACUGCCAUCGUAAGAUGUGAGGAAGGUGGGGAUGACGUCAAAUCAGCACGGCCCUUACGUCCGGGGCUACACACGUGUUACAAUGGGGGGUACAGAGGGCCGCUACCACGCGAGUGGAUGCCAAUCCCAAAAACCUCUCUCAGUUCGGACUGGAGUCUGCAACCCGACUCCACGAAGCUGGAUUCGCUAGUAAUCGCGCAUCAGCCACGGCGCGGUGAAUACGUUCCCGGGCCUUGUACACACCGCCCGUCAAGCCAUGGGAGCCGGGGGUACCUGAAGUGCGUAACCGCGAGGAGCGCCCUAGGGUAAAACUGGUGACUGGGG